This 229-nucleotide ribosomal RNA is filed under the name uncultured bacterium. Its description in RNAcentral is "partial 16S ribosomal RNA". It matches the Rfam family "Bacterial small subunit ribosomal RNA", at positions 568 to 796 of the family's 1533-position model. The record is from RNAcentral.
UCCGUAGGCGGGUAAUUAAGUCAGAGGUAAAAUCCCACAGCUUAACUGUGGAACUGCCUUAGAUACUGGUUAUCUUGAGUUUUAGUGAAGUAGAUAGAAUGUGUAGUGUAGCGGUGAAAUGCAUAGAUAUUACACAGAAUACCGAUUGCGAAGGCAGUCUACUAACUAACAACUGACGCUAAUGGACGAAAGCGUGGGGAGCGAACAGGAUUAGAUACCCUGGUAGUCC